This 253-nucleotide ribosomal RNA is filed under the name uncultured prokaryote. RNAcentral describes it as "partial 16S ribosomal RNA". It matches the Rfam family "Bacterial small subunit ribosomal RNA", at positions 524 to 776 of the family's 1533-position model. The record is from RNAcentral.
GACGAACCGGACAAACGUUAUUCGGAAUCAUUGGGCUUAAAGGGUGCGUAGGCGGUGCUGUAAGUCGGGUGUGAAAUGCCUCAGCUCAACUGAGGAAUUGCGCCCGAUACUGCGGUGCUUGAGGGAGACAGAGGUAAGCGGAACUGAUGGUGGAGCGGUGAAAUGCGUUGAUAUCAUCAGGAACACCAGUGGCGAAAGCGGCUCACUGGACCAUAACUGACGCUGAUGCGCGAAAGCUAGGGGAGCAAACAGG